Molecule: ribosomal RNA, 48 nt
Filed under: Fusarium solani
Lineage: Eukaryota; Fungi; Ascomycota; Sordariomycetes; Hypocreales; Nectriaceae
Description: partial 28S ribosomal RNA
Source: RNAcentral
GUUGACCUCGAAUCAGGUAGGAAUACCCGCUGAACUUAAGCAUAUCAA